This 864-nucleotide ribosomal RNA is filed under the name Triticum aestivum (bread wheat). RNAcentral describes it as "partial small subunit ribosomal RNA". Lineage: Eukaryota; Viridiplantae; Streptophyta; Magnoliopsida; Poales; Poaceae. The record is from RNAcentral.
CAAAGGCCGUGGAGUGGCACGACAAUUCCUUGUGACUUGGUGGAUCGUCGGUUAUUCUCUGCGUGCACAAAAAUCACCAUUGGGAAUGGCGAACGCGCUAGAUUUUGGACGGAUCGAUGUCUCCAAGGGGACUCGCCAGCUCAGCUAGCUCCGGAUCUUUUCAAGCUUGCUCGACGGAAAAAUCUAUCUGUGAAGGAGGGCCUUCAGGCCAACCGCUGGAUGAAGGGACUGCAACGGCUUGAUAGUGAGGAUAUGCCGGAUCAGUUCUUACAUCUCUGGGAACUACUCCAGCCGGUGUCUCUCAGUGAUAGCCAAGACGGGAUCCAAUGGACUUUGACGACUGAUGGAUGCUAUUCUGCUGCAUCUGCCUAUGAUUUUCAGUUUCUAACUAGGACUCCCCAACCCCUUCUGCAUGCAACAUGGAGAAUCAAGGCGGAACCAAAGGUCAAAUUUUAUCUUUGGUUAUUGCUCCAGAACCGCAAUUGGACUGUUGAUCGCCUUUCUACCAGGGGAUGGCCACACAAUGAUUUCUGCACCCUCUGUGACCAAACCAUCGGUCAGCGGCUCACAUCUCCCUGGCCUGUCCUUUUGCUCGGGAAGUUUGGCACUCCUUUCGCAGUAAUGCCGAGAGGGCUGCUGCUAUUGGCUCAACAUAUCUAUCUCCUCAAGGAAUGGUGGAGGAAGACCAUUGGUAUUGGGAAGACGCUGGACUCGCACAAGCAGAUCACCACAGCGGCCUACGUCGUUUGGAACCUUUGGAAGGAGCGCAGCCGACGUACCUUCGAGGGGAAAAGAUGCUCGCCUGAAACUGUCGCCGCCAUGGCCAGAGAGGAGACUUCACUUUUUUGGGCGGCAAACAACUGA